CAGGCUUAACACAUGCAAGUCGAGGGGCAGCAUCAUCAAAGCUUGCUUUGAUGGAUGGCGACCGGCGCACGGGUGAGUAACACGUAUCCAACCUGCCGACAACACUGGGAUAGCCUUUCGAAAGAAAGAUUAAUACCGGAUGGCAUAGUUUUCCCGCAUGGGAUGACUAUUAAAGAAUUUCGGUUGUCGAUGGGGAUGCGUUCCAUUAGGCAGUUGGCGGGGUAACGGCCCACCAAACCUACGAUGGAUAGGGGUUCUGAGAGGAAGGUCCCCCACAUUGGAACUGAGACACGGUCCAAACUCCUACGGGAGGCAGCAGUGAGGAAUAUUGGUCAAUGGACGAGAGUCUGAACCAGCCAAGUAGCGUGAAGGAUGACUGCCCUAUGGGUUGUAAACUUCUUUUAUACGGGAAUAAAGUUAGCCACGUGUGGCUUUUUGUAUGUACCGUAUGAAUAAGGAUCGGCUAACUCCGUGCCAGCAGCCGCGGUAAUACGGAGGAUCCGAGCGUUAUCCGGAUUUAUUGGGUUUAAAGGGAGCGUAGGCGGGUUGUUAAGUCAGUUGUGAAAGUUUGCGGCUCAACCGUAAAAUUGCAGUUGAUACUGGCGACCUUGAGUGCAACAGAGGUAGGCGGAAUUCGUGGUGUAGCGGUGAAAUGCUUAGAUAUCACGAAGAACUCCGAUUGCGAAGGCAGCUUACUGGAUUGUAACUGACGCUGAUGCUCGAAAGUGUGGGUAUCAAACAGGAUUAGAUACCCUGGUAGUCCACACAGUAAACGAUGAAUACUCGCUGUUGGCGAUAUACAGUCAGCGGCCAAGCGAAAGCAUUAAGUAUUCCACCUGGGGAGUACGCCGGCAACGGUGAAACUCAAAGGAAUUGACGGGGGCCCGCACAAGCGGAGGAACAUGUGGUUUAAUUCGAUGAUACGCGAGGAACCUUACCCGGGCUUAAAUUGCAACUGACUGAACCGGAAACGGUUCUUUCUUCGGACAGUUGUGAAGGUGCUGCAUGGUUGUCGUCAGCUCGUGCCGUGAGGUGUCGGCUUAAGUGCCAUAACGAGCGCAACCCUUACGGGUAGUUACCAUCAGGUUAUGCUGGGGACUCUACCCGGACUGCCGUCGUAAGAUGUGAGGAAGGUGGGGAUGACGUCAAAUCAGCACGGCCCUUACGUCCGGGGCUACACACGUGUUACAAUGGGGGGUACAGAAGGCAGCUACACGGCGACGUGGUGCUAAUCCCGAAAGCCUCUCUCAGUUCGGAUUGGAGUCUGCAACCCGACUCCAUGAAGCUGGAUUCGCUAGUAAUCGCGCAUCAGCCACGGCGCGGUGAAUACGUUCCCGGGCCUUGUACACACCGCCCGUCAAGCCAUGAAAGCCGGGGGUACCUGAAGUACGUAACCGCGAGGAGCGUCCUAGGGUAAAACUGGUGAUUGGGGC
This 1433-nucleotide ribosomal RNA is filed under the name uncultured organism. RNAcentral's name for it is "16S ribosomal RNA". It matches the Rfam family "Bacterial small subunit ribosomal RNA". The record is from RNAcentral.